Molecule: transfer RNA, 75 nt
Filed under: Marmota monax (woodchuck)
Lineage: Eukaryota; Metazoa; Chordata; Mammalia; Rodentia; Sciuridae
Description: tRNA.Ala
Source: RNAcentral
GCUAAAGGUGUAGCUCAGUGGUAGAGUGCUGCUUAGCUUGUAAUGGUCCUGGGUUUGAUUCCCCAGCACUCAGCA